UAUGUAGGGUGCAAGCGUUAAUCGGAAUUACUGGGCGUAAAGCGUGCGCAGGCGGUUUUGUAAGUCUGACGUGAAAUCCCCGGGCUCAACCUGGGAAUUGCGUUGGAGACUGCAAGGCUAGAAUCUGGCAGAGGGGGGUAGAAUUCCACGUGUAGCAGUGAAAUGCGUAGAGAUGUGGAGGAACACCGAUGGCGAAGGCAGCCCCCUGGGUCGAGAUUGACGCUCAUGCACGAAAGCGUGGGGAGCGAACAGG
This 253-nucleotide ribosomal RNA is filed under the name uncultured bacterium. RNAcentral describes it as "partial 16S ribosomal RNA". It matches the Rfam family "Bacterial small subunit ribosomal RNA", at positions 524 to 776 of the family's 1533-position model. The record is from RNAcentral.